Molecule: ribosomal RNA, 253 nt
Filed under: uncultured bacterium
Lineage: Bacteria
Description: partial 16S ribosomal RNA
Rfam family: Bacterial small subunit ribosomal RNA
Source: RNAcentral
GACGAACCGUGCAAACGUUAUUCGGAAUCACUGGGCUUAAAGGGCGCGUAGGCGGGCGGUCAAGUCAGGGGUGAAAUCUUUCGGCUCAACCGGAAAAGUGCCUUUGAUACUGGCCGUCUCGAGGGAGGUAGGGGCGUGCGGAACUUUGGGUGGAGCGGUGAAAUGCGUAGAUAUCCAAAGGAACACCGGUGGCGAAAGCGGCGCGCUGGACCUCUACUGACGCUGAGGCGCGAAAGCCAGGGGAGCAAACGGG